AUUACAAUACAGGACUCUGUCCAGGCCCUGUAAUUGGAAUGAGUCCACUUUAAAUCCUUUAACGAGGAUCUAUUGGAGGGCAAGUCUGGUUCAGAGCGACUGAACCGUGCAUGCUGCAGCUGAAACUCCAC
Molecule: ribosomal RNA, 131 nt
Filed under: Pelobates cultripes (western spadefoot toad)
Lineage: Eukaryota; Metazoa; Chordata; Amphibia; Anura; Pelobatidae
Description: SSU_rRNA_eukarya
Source: RNAcentral